RNAcentral lists this ribosomal RNA (216 nucleotides) under uncultured bacterium. RNAcentral describes it as "partial 16S ribosomal RNA". It matches the Rfam family "Bacterial small subunit ribosomal RNA", at positions 57 to 305 of the family's 1533-position model. The record is from RNAcentral.
GCAAGUCGAACGCUAUUUAUAUAGUGGCGCACGGGUGAGUAACGCGUGGGAACCUGCCUUUUUCUGCGUGAUAACGGUUGGAAACGACCGCUAAUACCGCCUACUCCCUACGGAGGAAAGGUCCGGUGGAAAAAGAGGGGCCCGCGGCUGAUUAGCUUGUUGGUAGGGUAAUGGCCUACCAAGGCGACGAUCAGUAGCUGGUCUGAGAGGAUGAUC